This 156-nucleotide non-coding RNA is filed under the name Frigidibacter sp. ROC022. RNAcentral describes it as "6S RNA". It matches the Rfam family "6S / SsrS RNA". From Rfam's summary of the family: E. coli 6S RNA was the first non coding RNA to be sequenced, but its function was unknown until recently. It consists of 184 nucleotides that fold into an extended hairpin structure with a large single-stranded internal bulge. The record is from RNAcentral. Lineage: Bacteria; Pseudomonadati; Pseudomonadota; Alphaproteobacteria; Rhodobacterales; Paracoccaceae.
CGGUUUCUGCUCUUCGCGUGAUGGGUCCCAUUCCGGUGGCCUAUAAGUAUUCCGAGGGAGCUGGCUCUGUUCGGACCCUGGUCCGGGUACCUGGCGCCCACCUGCAUUAGCGGGUCCUCGGGAAUGCAACACCCACACGGAUGCUACGGAUUCCGC